ACGGAAGGCAGCAGUGGGGAAUUUUGCGCAAUGGGGGCAACCCUGACGCAGCAACGCCGCGUGCGGGAUGACGGCCUUCGGGUUGUAAACCGCUUUCAGUGGGAAAGAUUAUGACGGUACCCACAGAAGAAGCUCCGGCUAACUACGUGCCAGCAGCCGCGGUAAUACGUAGGGAGCGAGCGUUAUCCGGAUUCAUUGGGCGUAAAGCGCGCGUAGGCGGACCGUUAAGCGGGAUGUUAAAGCCCGGGGCUCAACCCCGGCCCGCAUCCCGAACUGGCGGUCUUGAGUUCGGUAGGGGAGGACGGAAUUCCCAGUGUAGCGGUGAAAUGCGCAGAUAUUGGGAAGAACACCGAUGGCGAAAGCAGUCCUCUGGGCCGCAACUGACGCUGAGGCGCGAAAGCUGGGGGAGCGAACAGGAUUAGAUACCCUGGUA
Molecule: ribosomal RNA, 433 nt
Filed under: uncultured Denitrobacterium sp.
Lineage: Bacteria; Bacillati; Actinomycetota; Coriobacteriia; Eggerthellales; Eggerthellaceae
Description: partial 16S ribosomal RNA
Rfam family: Bacterial small subunit ribosomal RNA
Source: RNAcentral